GGUAGUAGCUCACUGGUAGAGCGCCUGCUUAACAUGCCUGAUGUCCUGGGUUCAAUCCCCAGUACCUCCA
This 70-nucleotide transfer RNA is filed under the name Camelus bactrianus (Bactrian camel). It matches the Rfam family "tRNA". From Rfam's summary of the family: Transfer RNA (tRNA) molecules are approximately 80 nucleotides in length. Their secondary structure includes four short double-helical elements and three loops (D, anti-codon, and T loops). Further hydrogen bonds mediate the characteristic L-shaped molecular structure. tRNAs have two regions of fundamental functional importance: the anti-codon, which is responsible for specific mRNA codon recognition, and the 3' end, to which the tRNAs corresponding amino acid is attached (by aminoacyl-tRNA synthetases). tRNAs cope with the degeneracy of the genetic code in two manners: having more than one tRNA (with a specific anti-codon) for a particular amino acid; and 'wobble' base-pairing, i.e. permitting non-standard base-pairing at the 3rd anti-codon position. The record is from Rfam by way of RNAcentral. RNAcentral also lists the same sequence under 2 other names. Lineage: Eukaryota; Metazoa; Chordata; Mammalia; Artiodactyla; Camelidae.